Molecule: ribosomal RNA, 478 nt
Filed under: uncultured bacterium
Lineage: Bacteria
Description: partial 16S ribosomal RNA
Rfam family: Bacterial small subunit ribosomal RNA
Source: RNAcentral
GAUGAACGCUGGCGGCGUGCUUAACACAUGCAAGUCGAACGAGAAGUGGAGACGGAAACCUUCGGGCGGAAGACUUUAUUUCGAGUGGCGGACGGGUGAGUAACGCGUGGGUAACCUGCCUCAUACAGGGGGAUAACAGUUGGAAACGACUGUUAAUACCGCAUAAGACCACAGCACCGCAUGGUGCGGGGGUAAAAACUCCGGUGGUAUGAGAUGGACCCGCGUUCGAUUAGCCAGUUGGCGGGGUAACGGCCCACCAAAGCGACGAUCGAUAGCCGAUCUGAGAGGAUGACCGGCCACAUUGGGACUGAGACACGGCCCAAACUCCUACGGGAGGCAGCAGUGGGGAAUAUUGCACAAUGGGGGAAACCCUGAUGCAGCGACGCCGCGUGAGUGAAGAAGUAUUUCGGGAUGUAAAGCUCUAUCAGCAGGGAAGAAAAUGACGGUACCUGAGUAAGAAGCCCCGGCUAACUACGUG